GCAGCGCCCAGGGACACUCCUACCUGAAGAAGUAGGCGGCGAGGAGGAGCAAGAGGAGGAGCAGCAGCAUAGGCAACAGCAGCCAGAGAAACUAAAAAGCUCCGUCAUCCUGCUGGAGACCACAGUGCCAGCUUUCAGAAGAGUUCAAAGUGCUCUGGCAGAUCCUGCCGCACCUCUGGGAAACGGCUCCCGGAGGUACACAGUCAUUCUGAUCACAGCUGCUGUCCCUGCAGAGUGAAUAUGGGAAAGACCCUGUGUCACAAGGCAAGAUGGCCUGAGUUCCAGCGCAUUAACUGAAUGACCUUGGGCCAGCUGUCCCCAUCUUUGUGUUUGUAAAAUGAGGAGAGCAGUAACCUGGUAUGCUGACGGGGAAAGUCCUUUGGGGACCCUGGCAGUGCAGACUCCGAUCAAGGUUGCAGCUCCAGAGUGGAGGUGGAUACACCAGGUUGCUCUUAGAAUCCUCCUGGGUGAAGUGAUACCUCUGAGAAUGUCAUGGAAGAGGAUGGAGAGCCAACUUGCAAGGAUCGUGCACGGACCAGAGUCUUGCGAUUCAUGUCCACCUGUAACUUCAGGAUGUGGCCUUAUUUGGAUAUAGGGAAUCUUUGUGUGUGUGUGUGUGUGUGUGUGUGUGUGUGUGUGUGUGUGUG
Molecule: long non-coding RNA, 647 nt
Organism: Chinchilla lanigera (long-tailed chinchilla)
Lineage: Eukaryota; Metazoa; Chordata; Mammalia; Rodentia; Chinchillidae
Exons: 4
Source: RefSeq, a predicted model, not a curated record